RNAcentral lists this ribosomal RNA (648 nucleotides) under uncultured Comamonadaceae bacterium. RNAcentral describes it as "bacterial SSU rRNA". It matches the Rfam family "Bacterial small subunit ribosomal RNA", at positions 60 to 705 of the family's 1533-position model. Lineage: Bacteria; Pseudomonadati; Pseudomonadota; Betaproteobacteria; Burkholderiales; Comamonadaceae. The record is from RNAcentral.
AGUCGAGCGGCAGCGCGGGGCAACCUGGCGGCGAGCGGCGAACGGGUGAGUAAUACAUCGGAACGUGCCCAAGUGUGGGGGAUAGCCCGGCGAAAGCCGGAUUAAUACCGCAUACGAUCUAAGGAUGAAAGCGGGGGAUCGCAAGACCUCGCGCACUUGGAGCGGCUGAUGGCAGAUUAGGUAGUUGGUGGGGUAAAGGCCUACCAAGCCUACGAUCUGUAGCUGGUCUGAGAGGACGACCAGCCACACUGGGACUGAGACACGGCCCAGACUCCUACGGGAGGCAGCAGUGGGGAAUUUUGGACAAUGGGCGAAAGCCUGAUCCAGCCAUUCCGCGUGCAGGAUGAAGGCCCUCGGGUUGUAAACUGCUUUUGUACAGAACGAAAAGGCUCUGGUUAAUACCUGGGGCUCAUGACGGUACUGUAAGAAUAAGCACCGGCUAACUACGUGCCAGCAGCCGCGGUAAUACGUAGGGUGCAAGCGUUAAUCGGAAUUACUGGGCGUAAAGCGUGCGCAGGCGGUUUUGUAAGACAGAGGUGAAAUCCCCGGGCUCAACCUGGGAACUGCCUUUGUGACUGCAAGGCUGGAGUACGGCAGAGGGGGAUGGAAUUCCGCGUGUAGCAGUGAAAUGCGUAGAUAUGCGGAGGA